GACGAACGCUGGCGGCGUGCUUAACACAUGCAAGUCGAGCGGUAAGGCCCUUUCGGGGGUACACGAGCGGCGAACGGGUGAGUAACACGUGGGUGACCUGCCCUCAGCUCUGGGAUAAGCCUGGGAAACUGGGUCUAAUACUGGAUAUGACUCCACGGUGCAUGUCGUGGGGUGGAAAGCCUUGUGCGGCUGAGGAUGGGCCCGCGGCCUAUCAGCUUGUUGGUGGGGGAUGGCCUACCAAGGCGACGACGGGUAGCCGGCCUGAGAGGGCGGACCGGCCACACUGGGACUGAGACACGGCCCAGACUCCUACGGGAGGCAGCAGUGGGGAAUCUUGCGCAAUGGGCGAAAGCCUGACGCAGCGACGCCGCGUGAGGGAUGACGGCCUGGUGUAAC
RNAcentral lists this ribosomal RNA (396 nucleotides) under uncultured bacterium. Its description in RNAcentral is "bacterial SSU rRNA". It matches the Rfam family "Bacterial small subunit ribosomal RNA", at positions 28 to 429 of the family's 1533-position model. The record is from RNAcentral.